AUGGUCUUUGCUGAUGUGAAGGAGCUUAGACUUGCUAUUACAGCAUAUUCUGUUAAGAACAGAGUUCAGAUCAAGAAGUUAAAGAAUGACAAAACUAGAAUGGAGGUUGUUUGUGAAAGAGGAUGCCCAUGGUGGCUAAAAGCUGGGAAGGACAACAGGACAGGUGGAUUUGUAAUCAAGGCUUACCAUGGAGAGCACAUUUGUCAGAAGAAAUGGAAGAUAAGGCAGAUGACAGCUAAGUUUCUGUGUCAGUAUUUCAUAGAUGAGUUCAGGGAUGACCAGAAAAUGUCACUUGGUACAUUUUCAAGAAAGAUCACCAAGGCAUUCAAUGUGACCCCUAACAGAUGGAAGCUAGCAAGGGCUAGAACUGCAGCCCUGAAAGAGAUCCAUGGAGAUGAAGAACAUCAGUUCAGUAGGCUAUGGGACUAUGGUCAUGAAUUAAGGAGUACAAACCCUGGCUCUACAUUUCUGUUAUCAACUGAGCUGAAGAAAGACCCAAAAUUUCCAAUGGGCAGGAAGUGUCUGAAGACACUGUAUUGGUCUUAUGAUGCAUGUAAAAGAGGUUGGUUAAAGGGGUGCAGGCCUAUCAUUUUCAUUGAUGGAUGUCACAUGAAAACAAGGUUCAAAGGAGUUUUGCUUAGUGCUGUUGGAAUUGAUCCAAAUGACUGCAUUUUCCCCAUUGCAAUGGGUUGGGUGGAAGUAGAAUGCAUAGGAUCCUGGGAAUGGUUUCUGACAACUUUGAGAGAUGAUCUAAACAUCACUAACACUGCUCCUUUCACAAUGAUGAGUGACAAGCAAAAGGGAUUGAUAAAUGUUGUGCAGAAAGUGUGGCCAGAUGCAGAGCAUAGGUUCUGUGUGAGGCAUAUCUAUCAGAAUUUCAAUGAGAAGCACAAGGGAGAGUUGCUGAAGCAAGACCUGUGGGCCAUUGCAAGAUCACCGAACAAAGUGAAGUGGAGCCAGAACUGUGAGAAAAUGGAUGCAGAUAGUUCAGCUGCAUUUCAUUGGACUGAAAGACUUGAUCCAAAGACUUGGUGUAAAGCAUUUUUCAGUGAAUUUCCCAAAUGUGACAUUCUACUGAACAAUAAUUCUGAAGUGUUUAACAGUUAUAUCCUUGAUGGCAGAGAGAUGGCAGUGUUGUCAAUGCUUGAAUAUAUAUUCUACAAAAUCAUGCAAAGGCUUGUGAGCAAACAAAGAGAGGCAAUAGAAAAGUGGGCAGGGCAGAGAAUAUGCCCAAAGAUCAAGAAGAAGUUAGACAAGAACACUGAAUUUGCUGCAAAUUGUCAUGUUUCAGAAGCUGGCCAACAGAAAUUCAGAGUUCAGUCUGGAAAUUCUAGCUACUCAGUGGACUUGUGUUUGCAUACAUGUGAUUGCAGGAGAUGGCAGUUAUCUGGUGUGCCUUGUGGCCAUUCCAUAGCAUGUUGUAGGGAAGAAAGAAUUGACCCAGAGUUAAUGGUUCAUGACUGCUACACUAUGGAGAAUUAUUUGAAAGCAUAUGGCUACACACUGGUCCCUCUAAGAGACCCUAAAUACUGGGAGGUGCAUCCAGGAUACAAGGUAUUUCCACCAGUGUUCACCAAACAGCUGGGCAGGCCAAAGAAAAACAGGAAAAAAACACCUGAAGAGAAAAUCAAACAUGGUGUGAGAUAUUUGAACAAGAAAGGUGUUACAAUGCAUUGCUCCAUAUGUGGCAGAGCUGACCACAAUAGAAAGGGCCAUUACAGAUGGCAGGAAGCACUUGUUGAAGAAGGUGUAGAGCUGGUUGAUGAAAAUUAUGAUGAUCCUACUUUUCUGCAGAACAUAUACCCCACCAGGCCAGAUCCUAGGUUAGAUCCUAGUGAGUCACCCACCAGCAUGGUCUUCAACAUGGCUACCAGGGAUAGAGCUAGAAGAGGUCAACAAAGAGUUCAUUGCCCAUUGCCAGAACAGUCUUCAUUUGUUGCAGCUACUGGUGCUGCAAUACCACAGCCAAGGGUCACUACAGAGAUGAAGAUUGCUAGACAGACAAGGGCAAGAACAACAGCUGACAGGGGAGAAGGAUCUAAAGCUACUGGCAGAGGAAGAGGAAGGAAAAGGAGAGGAAGAGGAGAAGGAAAUCCACCAGCAAGGAGAGGAAGAGGAGCAAAUGCUGUCCUUGGAAGAGGAGAUAAUGCAAUGCUUGGAAGAGGAGCAAAUCCAGUGCUGGGAAGAGGAUCAAAUGCUCAUGCAGUUCCAGCAAGAGGAGGCAGAAAUGUGCAUGCUUGGAGAGGCAGGGGAGGAAUUCCAGGUGCAGGUAGAGGUAGGGGAGGAAGAAAUGCAGAUGCAGGUACAGGAAGAGAAGCAAUCCCAGGUGAGAGGGCAUGGUGGCUGAUGUUUGGAGAAGAUAUGAGCAACAGCCUAAUUCCUGAUCUAAAUGCCCCCCCUGAUGCUUGA
RNAcentral lists this ribosomal RNA (2409 nucleotides) under Triticum aestivum (bread wheat). Its description in RNAcentral is "partial small subunit ribosomal RNA". Lineage: Eukaryota; Viridiplantae; Streptophyta; Magnoliopsida; Poales; Poaceae. The record is from RNAcentral.